This 174-nucleotide small nucleolar RNA is filed under the name Pochonia chlamydosporia 170. Lineage: Eukaryota; Fungi; Ascomycota; Sordariomycetes; Hypocreales; Clavicipitaceae. The record is from RNAcentral.
UCGUCUUUUGCCAUUGCUCGGUCAGUUCAUCUAGAGGACUGAUCUUGAGCCGGAUACCCUCACUUCGGUGUGUGAGUAUAAGACAAGAAGAAACUAUGGCAACGCUUUUUGAGUACGAAACCUUCAGUGACUUCACCAAAUGGAGGCUUUUGUAAUUUAUCUGUUGUUACAUUU